GAUGAACGCUGGCGGCGUGCCUAAUACAUGCAAGUCGAGCGAACGGACGAGAAGCUUGCUUCUCUGAUGUUAGCGGCGGACGGGUGAGUAACACGUGGAUAACCUACCUAUAAGACUGGGAUAACUUCGGGAAACCGGAGCUAAUACCGGAUAAUAUUUUGAACCGCAUGGUUCAAAAGUGAAAGACGGUCUUGCUGUCACUUAUAGGUGGAUCCGCGCUGCAUUAGCUAGUUGGUAAGGUAACGGCUUACCAAGGCAACGAUGCAUAGCCGACCUGAGAGGGUGAUCGGCCACACUGGAACUGAGAUACGGUCCAGACUCCUACGGGAGGCAGCAGUAGGGAAUCUUCCGCAAUGGGCGAAAGCCUGACGGAGCAACGCCGCGUGAGUGAUGAAGGUCUUCGGAUCGUAAAACUCUGUUAUUAGGGAAGAACAUAUGUGUAAGUAACUGUGCACAUCUUGACGGUACCUAAUCAGAAAGCCACGGCUAACUACGUG
This 497-nucleotide ribosomal RNA is filed under the name uncultured bacterium. RNAcentral describes it as "partial 16S ribosomal RNA". It matches the Rfam family "Bacterial small subunit ribosomal RNA", at positions 28 to 507 of the family's 1533-position model. The record is from RNAcentral.